RNAcentral lists this long non-coding RNA (2383 nucleotides) under Anas zonorhyncha (Eastern spot-billed duck). RNAcentral's name for it is "lncRNA (ENSAZOG00000007852.1)". Lineage: Eukaryota; Metazoa; Chordata; Aves; Anseriformes; Anatidae. The record is from RNAcentral.
UCGAAGAACAAAACCAUCGUCCGACCGGCCUCGUUUCCUCCCCCCGCCCUUCCCCGGCCCGGCUCACCCCGCUCAUUGGCCCCCAAGUCAUGGCUUCACUUCUCCAUUUCUUUACGUUGGGCCCGGGUGCCUCCUUCGGAGGUGGUGGCUAAUCGGGGCACGUUAAAAGGCGAGCUUCCCCCUCGCCGACCAGUAAGGAAGUCGCUCGCGCGCCCUGCGGCACCGCUCCCCCCCCCGGCACCCGGACAUGCGGCGCCACGCGCGGCCCCUGGGCGUGCUGGCAGCCGUGGCCAAGGGACUCUUCCUCCUCUGGGCCGUGCCAGCGCGGAGCGCGCAGCCCCCGACCCUGCAGCAGAUCCACGCCCUGGUGCGGCACAUGGCCGAGGACGCGCGGGAGCUCUUCUUCUUCUACGUGAGUGCCACCUCGCCAGACGGCAGGAAAAAGGGGGCGAAAGCCCCCCUCACUUAGCGUGUCAGUGGGGAGGGGGUGGGCUCGCCACUGCCGCCGAGCCCCCGCUGACCCCCUUGCCUUUCCCACGGGCAGGAGCAGGAGCAGCACCUGGCCUUCACCCGGCUGUGCCGCACCAACACCUCGCUGGAGUGGCUGCGGGGGACGGUGGUGACGGGGACCGGGGGGCUGCGGGCACUGCACGGGGCCAUGGCCCGCAUGGACCGGGCGCUGCAGGGCAUCAGCCAGCACCAGCGCGACCUCCACCCCCCCGGGGCCCCCAUCCUGCGCCGCCUCGACAGCACCCGCCUGAAGGUGCGGGGCCUCCUCAGCAACCUGGAGGGAGUCCUCCACGCCCACGGCAUCGUCCCCACCGUCCCCACCCUGCCCCGGCUGCCGGCGGCCACCGGAGUCUUCCAGCAGAAGCUGGAGGGGUGCCGGAUCCUCUGGAGCUACGCACGCUUCACGGAGCAGCUCAGCACCCAGCUGGAGGAGCGAGGGCUGCGGGCGCGCCGGGAGGAGAGGAGGCAGCAGCGGCGAGGCCGGCGGCGAGGUCGGCGGCCAGCGAGGUCCUAGGGAGCCCCUGCCACCCCCGCUGCUGUCACCCGAGCUGUCCCCAGCGCCCUGAGGCUUGCGGUUGGAUGCGGAGAGCCCGGCGCGCGGCUGGCGCUGGCACAGACGUCCCCCAGGUGCCACCGCGUGUGGAGGGCAACAUCGGCCAGCGGGGUCACUCUGGGUUGGUGACGUCCCCCGUUUGCCAGCCCUGCCUGAUUUUCCAGUGAUUCAAUGGGUCUGGUGACACGGCCUGACUAAGGGGCUGCUCGCACGGCACCCGCACGCCCGGCGCAGGCAGGGUGCAGCCCCAGACCGACCCUGGCCGCUUGUGCCACCGGCUUGUCACCGAUAUGUCACCCCCUGCCUGCCUCUCGAGGGGUUCGCUGAACCCAGAGAGCAUCUGAGGGUGGCUUUCCUUGAGCCUGGCGUCCCUGUGAGCUUGGUGUCCCUGUGUGCCUGGUGUCCCCAUGAGCCUGGUGUCCCCGUGCACUCUGUGAGCGCAGUGUCCCUGUGCUCAUCCCUGCACGCCUGCUGUCCCUGUGCCUGUCCCCGUGCCUCAUGUCCCUGCAUUGUGUCCCCUCAGCAUCCCCGUGCCCACCCCUGGGCCCUCGGUGUCCCCAGCGUCCCCGAGCCCUGCACUGUGCGGGUGGGCACCGGUCCCCCAGUAACUUAUACGUGACAGUGGUGCAGCUCCCCUAUUUAUUGAAACCAUCGGUUUAAUUUAAUAUAUCCCUGCACCUGGGAGAAAUAUUUAAGGAUACCUUUUUUUAAUAUAUAAAUUAUAUAUAUCUAUUUUUGUUAUUUUUUUUUGUACUGUGUUAAGCUGUAAAGGUAACGAUGUUUUAUUUAUGAAUCUAAAUAUUAUUUUGUACUGGGAGAAGGGCACCACCGGGCCAUCCUGCCCAGGUGGUGCCCCCUUAUUUUUAUAUCACAGCAGAUGGAAAUAAAGCAUUGACCUCGGCCCGUGGGCUUAUGCCUCUGGCCUGGCACCUGUGUGUGUGUGUGUCUGUGUGUCCAUGUGUCCGGCUGUCCGUGUGUCCGGGUGCCUGUGCCUCUCCCAGCCCUGAGAAAAGCCCGCGGGGUUUGCUGUGCGCAGGAACCGACUCAUUCCGCGAGUGCUUCUGGGGCUUUUCAGGGCUGCAGGGUCUGGUGCUGCCAGGAAUUCUCCUGAGCGUGGUGAUGUGGUGAGGGCACAGCGAAACCUGAACAAAUUCAGAAACUGAUUAGCAAUAACCUGAAAGGAAAGUGGGGCCACAAGAGGCCCGGGGGGACAAAGUGGGGGACAAGGCUGGAGGGAAACUGCAGAGCAUGGGGAUGAUGUGGGACGUGGCGUGGGGUGGUGUUUGGGAUGGGAUGGUGGUGCAUUGUGGCACAUGGCAC